RNAcentral lists this ribosomal RNA (459 nucleotides) under uncultured bacterium. RNAcentral describes it as "partial 16S ribosomal RNA". It matches the Rfam family "Bacterial small subunit ribosomal RNA", at positions 338 to 795 of the family's 1533-position model. The record is from RNAcentral.
CCUACGGGAGGCAGCAGUGAGGAAUAUUGGUCAAUGGGCGGGAGCCUGAACCAGCCAAGCCGCGUGAGGGAAGAAGGUACAGCGUAUCGUAAACCUCUUUUGUCAGGGAACAAAGGCGGGGACUAGUCCCCGGAUGAGGGUACCUUAAGAAAAAGCAUCGGCUAACUCCGUGCCAGCAGCCGCGGUAAUACGGAGGAUGCGAGCGUUAUCCGGAUUUAUUGGGUUUAAAGGGUGCGCAGGCGGCCUGUUAAGUCAGCGGGAAAAGCCCGGGGCUCAACCCCGGCGAGCCGUUGAAACUGGCGGGCUGGAGUUGGAGAGAAGUACGCGGAAUGCGCGGUGUAGCGGUGAAAUGCUUAGAUAUCGCGCAGAACCCCGAUUGCGAAGGCAGCGUACCGGCUCCACACUGACGUUGAGGCACGAAAGCGUGGGUAUCGAACAGGAUUAGAUACCCGAGUAGUC